Acinonyx jubatus (cheetah) is the source of this 1843-nucleotide long non-coding RNA. RefSeq lists it as uncharacterized. The transcript is spliced from 5 exons. The record is from RefSeq and is a predicted model, not a curated record. NCBI's taxonomy places the organism in Eukaryota, Metazoa, Chordata, Mammalia, Carnivora, Felidae.
AGAAGAUUCAUUUUCAGGUCCUAAAAGCCUAGUAAUGUCUACAUAAAAACUUUAAUUUCUCAUCCAAUUUGAAGGGUCUCCCCUCUACUCAGCCUAUUUCUGACACCCUCUGCCUCAAGGACUUGUAAUGAGGAAGGGGAAGCAAGGUUGUGAACAGUCUUAUGGAGAUGAUCACAUGGGGAGGAAAUCAAGCCUCUUGCAGUCCUCCUGAGCCUGGAAGAAGAUCCUUUAGUCCCAGGAGGUGCUGAAAUGUUCAAAGCUGGCAUGUAAUGCAGUGGGACAGAAAGAUCUCUUUGGUAAUCAUUUGAUUGGAGCAGGAGGAGAUUCCUGACAGGAAGAGCACAUAGGAUGCAUGGAAAUCACCCAGGCAAGAUAAGAGCCCUGACUGAUAGACUCUUCACCUUAACUGUGAUAUAAAAUGCAAAGUACAAAUUUCACUGGAAUAAGACUUUUUACUUCAACUGCAACAACACUACUGAUAUUCAGAAUUUGGGCAUCUGAUAUGGGCUUCUAUGAAUUAUGGUGCUCAUGAGGCCAAAAGCUUUAAACCAUGUAAUACCUUUCAAGGGUAACUGCACAUUCUCCAGCUACCCACUAUGUACAAGGUAAUCAAUGUUUCAUUGGAUUUAGCAGAUGUAAAUGUUGGCCCCAAAAUGUGCAGCAGACAACUGUGAAUGCCAUGUACACUAGUACUUCCAUGAGGAAAUAAAAGAGAUAACUAGAAAAGGUCACUUUAACAUAUUUACGUACUAAUAGACUUUCCUCUGUGCUCUAUUUAAAAUUAAAUGUCUAUGCUGGACACUUCAAUAUAACCUCUAGUUGUAAGCAAAUAUCAUUGGAUUUUUACUUAGCUUUCUAUCACAGCAAAAGUCUUACUCGUAACUGCUAGUUUAUUUUACCAUUUCUUCCUCUAAACUGAGAUCCUUAGAGCCUUUGUGUUUUUCCAUGUACUCCUUUCCAUCAUUAAGCACAGUACUUGACACCUAAUAAACAUUCAGUGUAAGAUUUUUCGUUUUUUUUUCUGAUGAGUGGCUAAAUCAUAGAUUCAUAAAUCUAAAUUUCCAAAUAUUAUUUCUGCCUGUGGGCAGUGCCAUUAAGAAGUCAUUAUCUAGGGACACUUGGGUAGCUCAGUUGGUUAAGUUUCGAACUUCAGCUCAGAUCAUGAUCUCACAGUUCAUGAGUUGGAGACCUGUGUCAGGCUCUGUGCUGGAGCCCGCUUUGGAUUCUGUGUCUCCCUCUCUCUCUGCCCCUGCCACAUUUGCUUGCUCUCUCUCUCUCUCAAAAAUAAAUAAACAUUAAAAAAAUUAAAAAAAAGAGGUCAUUAUCUAAUAAGGUGCCUUUUGAUACAUACACUGACAAAAACAAAUUCUGUUCACAUAAUUGAACUUUAGUGGAAACUAUGGAUCAACUCCUUUCAGUAUGUACAUUGUAUUGAAAUAAGACAAAUUCUACUUUGACCAAUAAAUUAUUAAUUACAAAAAUUUAGUAAAGAAUAUUCAACUCCAAACAAAAGAAAACUAUACUAAGUGCGUCAUUUGACUUCCAGGCAGGUGCUCGCCAUCUCCAUCUCCUUUUUUUUUUUUUUUUUUAAUGAGAACAUUUAAGAUCUAGUCUCUUAGCUAAUUUUAAUUAUGUAACUAUAUUUCAAAUUUAAAAUAUAUGACAUAAUUAUACAGCAUAAUAUAUAAUUAUACCUCUAUUCUUAUGUAACUUUUGGAAAUGUAUCCUAAUGACCAAAUCUGGACAGCCUAUCACAUUUCAUCUUGAAAGUUUGCUACAAAAAAAACAUUUUUUUGGUUUGACUGACAGGAAUAAGAACAGAAUGGCUAGAUAAAGACUUCUU